RNAcentral lists this ribosomal RNA (253 nucleotides) under uncultured bacterium. RNAcentral describes it as "partial 16S ribosomal RNA". It matches the Rfam family "Bacterial small subunit ribosomal RNA", at positions 524 to 776 of the family's 1533-position model. The record is from RNAcentral.
UACGUAGGGGGCAAGCGUUGUCCGGAUUUAUUGGGCGUAAAGAGCGUGUAGGCGGUUUGGUAGGUCCGCUGUGAAAACUCGAGGCUCAACCUCGAGACGCCGGUGGAAACCAUCAGACUAGAGUCCGGAAGAGGAGAGUGGAAUUCCCGGUGUAGCGGUGAAAUGCGCAGAUAUCGGGAAGAACACCCGUGGCGAAGGCGGCACUCUGGGACGGUACUGACGCUGAGACGCGAAAGCGUGGGGAGCGAACAGG